Molecule: transfer RNA, 71 nt
Filed under: Cautires sp. UPOL 000080
Lineage: Eukaryota; Metazoa; Arthropoda; Insecta; Coleoptera; Lycidae
Description: tRNA-Glu
Source: RNAcentral
GAUUCUUUUUUAUAUAGUUUAAAGAAAACACUACAUUUUCACUGUAAAAUUAAAUUAUUUCUAUUUUAUAA